UCCGGUUUGUCACCGGCGGUCUCCUUAGAGUUCCCAACUUAAUGAUGGCAACUAAGAACAGGGGUUGCGCUCGUUACGGGACUUAACCCAACAUCUCACGACACGAGCUGACGACAGCCAUGCAGCACCUGUCUCACGGUUCCCGAAGGCACUUCUGCAUCUCUGCAAAAUUCCGUGGAUACAAGGGUAGGUAAGGUUCUUCGCGUUGCAUCGAAUUAAACCGCAUGCUCCACCGCUUGUGCGGGCCCCCGUCAAUUCCUUUGAGUUUCGGUCUUGCGACCGUACUCCCCAGGCGGAGUGUUUCACGCGUUAGCUGGGCCCCUGAUCCACGUAGACCAAGGGCGAACACUCAUCGUUUACGGCAUGGACUA
RNAcentral lists this unclassified non-coding RNA (371 nucleotides) under uncultured Pseudomonadota bacterium. RNAcentral describes it as "uncultured proteobacterium contains 16S-23S intergenic spacer region". The record is from RNAcentral. Lineage: Bacteria; Pseudomonadati; Pseudomonadota.